AGCGAUGAUGAUUGAUGGGCGAACGGAGAGAUGAAGAAGGAAAGGUGAUCUCUGAGC
Palaeococcus pacificus DY20341 is the source of this 57-nucleotide non-coding RNA. The record is from Rfam. NCBI's taxonomy places the organism in Archaea, Methanobacteriati, Methanobacteriota, Thermococci, Thermococcales, Thermococcaceae.